AGAGUUUGAUCCUGGCUCAGGAUGAACGCUGGCGGUCUGCUUAACACAUGCAAGUCGAACGCAACCUUCGGGUUGAGUGGCGGACGGGUGAGUAACGCGUGAGAAUCUGCCUUAGGGUCGGGGACAACCACUGGAAACGGUGGCUAAUACCGGAUAAGCCGAUUGGUGAAAGAUUCAUUGCCCGAAGAGGAGCUCGCGUCUGAUUAGCUAGUUGGUGAGGUAAGAGCUCACCAAGGCAGCGAUCAGUAGCUGGUCUGAGAGGACGAUCAGCCACACUGGGACUGAGACACGGCCCAGACUCCUACGGGAGGCAGCAGUGGGGAAUUUUCCGCAAUGGGCGAAAGCCUGACGGAGCAAGACCGCGUGAGGGAGGAAGGCUCUUGGGUUGUAAACCUCUUUUCUCAGGGAAGAGGCUCUGACGGUACCUGAGGAAUCAGCCUCGGCUAACUCCGUGCCAGCAGCCGCGGUAAUACGGAGGAGGCAAGCGUUAUCCGGAAUUAUUGGGCGUAAAGCGUCCGCAGGUGGCGAUUCAAGUCUGCUGUCAAAGCACGGGGCUUAACUCCGUUAAGGCAGUGGAAACUGAAUAGCUAGAGUGCCGUAGGGGUAGAGGGAAUUCCCGGUGUAGCGGUGAAAUGCGUAGAGAUCGGGAAGAACAUCGGUGGC
This 663-nucleotide ribosomal RNA is filed under the name uncultured bacterium. Its description in RNAcentral is "bacterial SSU rRNA". It matches the Rfam family "Bacterial small subunit ribosomal RNA", at positions 8 to 716 of the family's 1533-position model. The record is from RNAcentral.